This 269-nucleotide long non-coding RNA is filed under the name Elaeis guineensis (African oil palm). RNAcentral's name for it is "long non-coding RNA (EGUI_LNC072384)". Lineage: Eukaryota; Viridiplantae; Streptophyta; Magnoliopsida; Arecales; Arecaceae. The record is from RNAcentral.
AUUUAUAUUUAUAAUAGUUUUUAUAAACUAAAAAAAAUUAAAAUAAAAAAUUUAUAUAAUAAAUUCAUAAAUAAAUUUUAUAUUUUUAUUAUAUUAAAUUAAAAUUAUAAGAGAUCUAAAAUAAAAAUAAAAAGUUAUAUAAAGAGGCCGUCAAGUGUUGGCAUCUGCAGAAGGAGAAUGGGCUAGGAAAAGAAAGCACUCGAAAGAGCUCGGACCGACCUGCUGUUGCCUCAUCAUCUACUCCAUCUGCGCUAUCCACUCCAUCAUCU